RNAcentral lists this ribosomal RNA (225 nucleotides) under Lyophyllum sp. RNAcentral describes it as "partial large subunit ribosomal RNA". It matches the Rfam family "Eukaryotic large subunit ribosomal RNA", at positions 528 to 755 of the family's 3401-position model. The record is from RNAcentral. Lineage: Eukaryota; Fungi; Basidiomycota; Agaricomycetes; Agaricales; Lyophyllaceae.
UCGGGUGUGUUAUAGCCCCUGGUCAUAUACGUCGGAUGGGACUGAGGAACUCAGCACGCCGCAAGGCCGGGUCUUUGACCACGUACGUGCUUAGGAUGCUGGCAUAAUGGCCUUAAGCGACCCGUCUUGAAACACGGACCAAGGAGUCUAACAUGCCCGCGAGUGUUUGGGUGGAAAACCCAUGCGCGAAAUGAAAGUAAAAGUCGAGAUCCCUGUCGUGGGGAG